Molecule: transfer RNA, 71 nt
Filed under: Camelus bactrianus (Bactrian camel)
Lineage: Eukaryota; Metazoa; Chordata; Mammalia; Artiodactyla; Camelidae
Also listed under: 2 other names
Rfam family: tRNA
About the family: Transfer RNA (tRNA) molecules are approximately 80 nucleotides in length.
Source: Rfam by way of RNAcentral
GAGAAUGUGGCUCAGUGGUAGAGUGUGUGCUUAGCAUGCACAAAGUCCUGGGUUCAAUCCCUAGUUCCUCC